This 76-nucleotide transfer RNA is filed under the name Deltaproteobacteria bacterium. RNAcentral's name for it is "tRNA-His". It matches the Rfam family "tRNA". Rfam says of the family: Transfer RNA (tRNA) molecules are approximately 80 nucleotides in length. Their secondary structure includes four short double-helical elements and three loops (D, anti-codon, and T loops). The record is from RNAcentral. Lineage: Bacteria; Pseudomonadati; Myxococcota; Myxococcia.
GUGGGUGUAGCUCAGUUGGUAGAGCACCGGAUUGUGGCUCCGGUUGUCGUGGGUUCAAUUCCCAUCACUCACCCCA